GUUACACAGCAAACUGCCCAAGAACAUGAAGCCGGCCAGAGCAGCCUCAGUCUUUUUGACCUUUCUGCUGCUCCUAAGAACAGCAUCCAGUGGGGAUCCAUCAUCAGACAACAAAGUUAGGCUAUGUGAGUUUUUGAAUCAGCUGAAGCUUCCGAAGGAUGAUAUGAAGACCCUGAAGACCCUCUUGGAAGCCCUGUGUAAAGCCUUCAGUGACUGCAGGGUUCAAGAUGAAAAAAUCCAAAGCACAACAGAGGCGGUCAUCCACACAACUACCAGGCCUGCUGUUGUGACUUCAAG
Megalops cyprinoides (Indo-Pacific tarpon) is the source of this 297-nucleotide long non-coding RNA. RefSeq lists it as uncharacterized. The transcript has 4 exons. NCBI's taxonomy places the organism in Eukaryota, Metazoa, Chordata, Actinopteri, Elopiformes, Megalopidae. The record is from RefSeq and is a predicted model, not a curated record.